Long non-coding RNA from Pseudopipra pipra, 1241 nucleotides. RefSeq lists it as uncharacterized. Lineage: Eukaryota; Metazoa; Chordata; Aves; Passeriformes; Pipridae. The transcript is spliced from 2 exons. The record is from RefSeq and is a predicted model, not a curated record.
GGUCUGAGGAGGGGGCACCCCCGUGAGGGAAGGGGAUGGGAACCCUCUGAGGGGGAUGAUCUGGGGGGGUCUGAGGAGGGGGCACCCCCGUGAGGGCGUUCAGGGGACUCCACUGAGGGAGGAGGUUGGGGAAUCCUCUGAGGGGGUGAUCUGGGGGGUGUCUGAGGAUGGAGGGGCCCCGUGAGGGAGUCGGGGGACCCCCCCAUGAGGGAAGGGGCUGAGGGACCAUCUCUGGGGGAUGGUCUUGGGAGGUUUUUUGGAAGCUGAAGAAGGGCAGCUUUAGAUUAAAUAGUGGGGAUAAAUUGUUUUACUGUGUGGGUGGGGAGGCCCUGGCACAGGUCGCCCAGAGAACUGUGGAUUCCCCAUCCCUGGAAGUGUCCAAGGCCAGGUUGGACAGGGCUUGGAGCAACCUGGGAUGGUGGAAGGUGUCCCUGCCCCUGCCAGGGGGUGGAAUGAGAUGAUUUUUAAGGCCUCUUCCAACUGAAACCAUUCCAUGCUUCCAAGAUGUUUCAAAGAUGCUAAAUACAAGGGAAACAGUGGUAAAUGUAUCCCUGAUCCCACUUUUUCCCAGGAAACGGUGCAGAACCAGGUGAAGACUCAUCCAGAGAGAACAAACCCCAUCACCAACACCGUGGCUCUCACCACUCUCAUUCUUCAGCAGGCACCAAACCCACCUCAGGUCUGCAUUGAAUAGGAGUCACUGUGGUCAAUUGGAGGAAGAAACAUUGUUUUUGGGUCCAGGAGGGCUUGUUUAUGUCCUUUCAAUCCCCCUCCCACUGCAGGGGACGUGGUUUUCCCGGAGCUGAACCCCAGAGGGGAGCAGGAAAGGCCCAAAAUGCUGAAAUCCAGUGACACACGUGGCCAAACUGUGCAGCAAAGGGGCAAGGAAUGGAAAAAUAUUCUUUAGUUUUCACAGUUUUGAAAGUAGACCCAUCCACACCCCUCAGUCAGACCCAGCACAUCCAGGACCACCGGGAAUAGCUUCGUGGGGGCUUUAAAUUCAAUUAAAAUUGAAUAUACUUCAUAGCUGGUUUUUUUUAUCUCUGGGUGAUGAAAUUGUUGCAAUAUUGUUGGCAGUUUAAGAGGUGGAAGCCAGUUUGCCUUAUUUUGGGCCAAGAAAUAGAUGAUGAUAACACUUGGGUGACUUUGGGUUGUUUAUUUAUUUACUUAAUCCCAGUGGAAACUAAAUAAAAUGAACAGCGUGUGGAUCCCAGAGGAGAUAAAUGGAUUUUUGUCAACCA